RNAcentral lists this ribosomal RNA (468 nucleotides) under uncultured bacterium. RNAcentral's name for it is "partial 16S ribosomal RNA". It matches the Rfam family "Bacterial small subunit ribosomal RNA", at positions 28 to 507 of the family's 1533-position model. The record is from RNAcentral.
GACGAACGCUGGCGGCGUGCUUAACACAUGCAAGUCGAACGGAAAGGCCCUGCUUUUGUGGGGUGCUCGAGUGGCGAACGGUUGAGUAACACGUGAGUAACCUGCCCUUGACUUUGGGAUAACUUCAGGAAACUGGGGCUAAUACCGGAUAUGAUCUCCUGCUGCAUGGUGUGGGUUGGAAAGUUUCGGCGGUUGGGGAUGGACUCGCGGCUUAUCAGCUUGUUUGUGGGGUAGUUGCUUACCAAGGCUUUGACGGGUAGCCGGCCUGAGAGGGUGACCGGAGACAUUGGGACUGAGAUACGGCCCAGACUCCAAAGGGAGGCAGCAGUGGGGAAUAUUGCACAAUGGGCGGAAGCCUGAUGCAGCAACGCCGCGUGCGGGAUGACGGCCUUCGGGUUGUAAACCGCUUUAGCCUGUGACGAAGCGUGAGUGACGGUAAUGGGUAAAGAAGCACCGGCUAACUACGUG